GGUUGUGUAGUGUAGUGGUUAUCACUGUAGGUUCUCGGAGAAGCCUUGUUACAUCCAUCACGUACUGACUCCCAUCGAGCCGGAUUUUGAUCGCUUGCCAUCAAAUGUCUUCCGGCAACCCCGGUUCGAGCCCGGGCACGACCU
RNAcentral lists this transfer RNA (144 nucleotides) under Colletotrichum eremochloae. RNAcentral describes it as "tRNA-Glu". Lineage: Eukaryota; Fungi; Ascomycota; Sordariomycetes; Glomerellales; Glomerellaceae. The record is from RNAcentral.